Molecule: unclassified non-coding RNA, 345 nt
Filed under: soil metagenome
Description: partial contains 5.8S ribosomal RNA, internal transcribed spacer 2, and large subunit ribosomal RNA
Rfam family: 5.8S ribosomal RNA (bases 1-120)
Source: RNAcentral
GAUGAAGAACGUAGCGAAAUGCGAAAAGUAAUGCGAAUUGCAGAAUUCAGCGAGUCAUCGAGUCUUUGAACGCACAUUGCGCCCCCUGGUAUUCCGGGGGGCAUGCCUGUCCGAGCGUCAUUGCUGCCCUCAAGCACGGCUUGUGUGUUGGGCCUCCGUCCUCCUCCCGGGGGACGGGCCCGAAAGGCAGCGGCGGCACCGCGUCCGGUCCUCGAGCGUAUGGGGCUUCGUCACCCGCUCUUGUAGGCCCGGCCGGCGCUUGCCGACACAUCAAUCUUUUUUCCAGGUUGACCUCGGAUCAGGUAGGGAUACCCGCUGAACUUAAGCAUAUCAAUAAGCGGAGGA